Molecule: long non-coding RNA, 2456 nt
Filed under: Homo sapiens (human)
Lineage: Eukaryota; Metazoa; Chordata; Mammalia; Primates; Hominidae
Description: HSALNT0328793
Source: RNAcentral
CCAAUGUAGUGGGUCCAACCAGCAUUAAAAAAGAAAGAAAGAAAGAAAGAAAGAAAGAAUAGAAAAUAUCAGAGUACAUAACAAGUAGUAAAGGAAGUCACCAUCUUCGGUGGGGACCUUUCUCAGACAAUCUAUUCUUCCACAAUUCUCCUUGAGCAACCAAGAUAUUAACGGGGAAGACUUGAAGUUUCUAUGCUGCUUGAUCCAGAAUUUUCUCACCAUGGAUGUGGGGUUCUCACCUUUGAAGGUGGAAAGUGACACAACUGAAUGAUGAUUUUCUUGGUAACAUUUGGAAGGGCCACGAGAGCUGCUGGGAUUGGGCUUGCUGUGUUUCCUUGAUGAAUUUCACCUUUAAAGGAGCUUGCUGCAUGAGAGAGGCUGUCUUGCCUUUAAAUUCAUUCUUCAAGUUCGUCCCGGAGGGCAUCGUUUUUCCUGCCUUGAGGAAGCAACAACAAAUAACCCAGGAAAAACACUGCAUAAACAUGGCAUCCAAAGAGAGGAAGCAGAGACAUGAUGCACCAACUACUACUUUAGUAAUUGAAGAGAGAGAGAAGAGCCUGAAGUCAUUCAAUAAUUAGAUCAAAUAAUUUACUAAUGGAUCAUUUGUCUUCCCUUCCAAUCUUCCUUAGCAAGUUGGCUAAUUGCUCCAUGGUCACAAGAUAGCUGCUGAAUCUCUAGAAAUCAUUCCCAAGUCCCAUUCAGGAAGAAAAUAAAAGGGUGCAUUGGCUUUUUCUGUUUCCCUCUUCUCAGAACUCUCUCAGCAGACUUUCACUUACGUGUUAUAUAGUCCAGAACUGGAUGGCAUGGCUCCCCACCGUGUGCAAGGGAGAUUCAACAGGAUUUGGUUUUUCAGCCUCUGUUGGGAGAGACCAAGAGACAGAAGGAGACUGGGUAACACUGUCCACCGUAACCACUUAGUAUAGUGAUAACUCUGGGCAAAUAUUAAUUACUACUGGGCUAGUUGAAAGUUUCUGGGAAGCAAAUCAGUUGCUAAGCACAUGCUCUAUGAGAACCCAUAAUAUAAAUAAGAAGAAGAAAAAAGAAGGUUUAAAUGUUGGCUUACUUAGAGGAAUGCCUAGUUUCUUCUCUAUCACUGUGGUAACCACUAGGUUACAACUGUUACCUUUUCUCACAGAAAGACAAUUCCAAAACAGACCUCAAAUGAAAAUGCUACACAAAUAAUGGAUUAAUUGGGUACCAUUUCUACUCUUCUCAUCAUGUUUUACAAGCAGUUGAAAUAAUAUGUGCCCUUCCCAGUCCCUUUUUAGUAUUUGUCAGUAGAAUAGAGUGUCAAAAACGACUUACGAUGCCUAAAACAUUUAGAAAUUAAAAUAGCAUGUGGUGGUGCCAUGACCUUUUCAAUAUGCUGGUGUUUCAAUUGUUCAGCCAUUCCUCUUGUUCUUUUUCCUGACUGUUCUUUAUCAGAGGAAAAGGUAAAUUGGCACCUCAAGUAUGGAGUACUCAAAGGAACUAAACAGCACAUUAUUGAAACAAUUCAGAGGCAAUCCCGCAUAGCUUCCAAGUGCCAUGGAAACAAAAGAUGGUAACUUUAUUAAUUGUGAAAGGUUGGGGGAACGAAUUUAGUAUCUUGCUUUGCCAGUUUUCCUCUAGUGCACAGUAUAGUUUCCAGGACCUGCAUACAAACAUCAGUUCAUGAUCAAAAUGUGACCUUGCCUGUCCCGAUGAAUAAAACUAAUAAAUUCCCCAAUGAUAUGCUUAUUAUGCUUCUCUGAGGGAAGAUGGUUGCUUUCGUGUCAUUGUGGUUCCAUAAUAUCUCUUGGAAGGAGGCUUCUGAGGAUGCCCAAGCUGCUCCUCUGGGUUUCCCUAACACCCUGCAUGCGCUCAUCGUGUAGAAAUUGCCACAUAGCGUUACAGGUUUCUGUUCACUUAUUUCGUCUGCCCAGUGGGAAUGUGAUUUCCUGAAGAGCACCUAGCACAUGCCUAAAACACAAAAGGACUUCACUAAACAUUUGCUGAAUAACUACCACCUGUGCCAAGAAGCAGACCGGCUUCCGCUACAACUGACAGCCCUUCUCUCCUGCUAGUCAGAGAUUCUCUGUCUUGGAAGAGACUUUAGGAAACAGCAGACAUCUUGGAUGUGUGCCUGCCUGCAUUACCACCUUCUCCAGUUUUAUCCUAAAGCUGACUUCAGUACAGCUCUCCCCAAACUGUGGAAACUUUGGAUGACUACCUAAGAACUCCACAAACUCAAGCAGCUUUAAAGCCACUCUGCAACUUUCCUACAAUGAAAGAGGAGGCAGGUACCAUUCUCAGAUAAUACCGAUGAAUUCAGAAACCAAAAUAAAUCUGAAAAAAUGUAGUGCUUCACACUUACAUUUAUACCCUUCUCCCUUCUUGCUUUAUUCCCCAGAAGUGAGUAGCUCCUGAAACUGAUAGCCAAGAGAUGUUCAGGAAGAACCUGUCCCCAAACAGGUGUUUGCACACCCAAGUUAUGU